Molecule: long non-coding RNA, 1608 nt
Filed under: Anas platyrhynchos platyrhynchos (common mallard)
Lineage: Eukaryota; Metazoa; Chordata; Aves; Anseriformes; Anatidae
Description: lncRNA (ENSAPLG00000017330.1)
Source: RNAcentral
AUGCUCAGUGGCAGCAGGGUUGCAUUUUUUUCACUAAAAACGUUUUUAAGCUGCAGCCCCUUGCUGGGGGGGGAGAGCCUCGUGCUGUGCGCAGCCCCCCAGCACCACCCAUCCCUGCGGCUCGGGGGGGGUGACCCUAAGGGAACCCCAAAAAACAUGGGGCCAAACCUAGGGGGGUGCAGGGGGCUGGGGCAGAGCCCUGCACCCCCCCAGCCCCAAGGAGCCGCAUCACCGAGGGGGGGGGCUGCUGCCGGGGGCGUUUUUCAGACGCCCACCGGGAGGGGGCUCGGGGUGGGGGGCCCCAGCAGCCGCCGCCGCCCCCGGCCUUUGUUCGGGGGGGCUCCAACGCCGCCAGGGGGCGCCCGGGGAGUGCGAGGGGGGGGCCGGGAGCGCGGAGAGCCCGAACGGCUCCGGGGGCAUCGGAGGGGGCUCGGGGAGGGGGCUGGGGCUGGGGGCUGGGGGCUUUCCCCUGCUCCCCUACCUUCUCGUGUCCCCCCCCAUCUUUCCCCAUCUCUCCAUUUUUCCCCUGCUCCCCAUUUUUCCCCUGCUCCCCAGCUCCCCCCCCGUUCCCCCACCUUCCCCUACUCCCCCGUUUUCCCCUUCUCCCCCUUUCCCCUGCUCCAUUUUUCCCCAAUUCCCCAAAUUUCCUCCAAUUUUCCCCAUUCCCUCACUCUCCCCUCCAUUCCCCCACCUUCUUUUCUGCUCCCCAUCUUUCCCCAUCUCCCCACCUCCCCCUUCUCCCCUUUUCCCCUGUUCCAUUUUUCCCCAAUUUCCCCAAUUUCCCCAGCUCCUCACCCAACCGGGGACACCGUGGGGGGCAAAAAAAAAAAAACCCCGAGGGCACAGCGAGGAAGAGGAAGAAGGAGCAGGAAAGCGAGGAGCUGGGGCUGGCAGCCAGCCUGGGGAGGGUCCCAGCCCGGAGGGGGGGUCCCCAGCCCAUCCCCAGUGCCCCCAGUGCCCCCGUGCCCUGGAGCAGAGCUGCGCCCCGGCCCCCUCCCCGCUGCGGCAGGAGGAAGCGGCCGUGUGCAGCCUUUCCCGAGGAUGAGGAUUUCCUUCCUCCCAUUCAGCGGGGACCCUGGGGUUAGCACGCAGCCCUGGGGGCACCUCAGCCCGCAGGAGGAGGGGGUCCGGCUGUGGGGCACCCCCCCGGGAGCAGCUCCCACUGGGACCCCCCUUUUCUUGUCCCCCCUGCCCGGCCGGGACCCCCGCAGCCUCCCCAGGGUUUGGGACUGGGCAGCUGGCGGUACGGGGGUGUGGAAGGAGCCCUGCAACCAUUUUCUUCUCUUUUUCCAUGGUUUUCCCCCCAUUCUGCUCGCUGUGGAUAUUUGGGGACACGGCCCAGCGCAACAUCCCCGGGGUGGCCAGGCUGGGGGUGGCCGAGCUGCAGCAAACAAAGCCACAAUUUUGGGGCUCCCAACUGCCCUGGGAUCAGCAACACGACCCCCCAGCUCCGUGCAGAGCCCCCCCCAGCCCCAGGGGUGCCUGCACCCCAAUGCGUCCCAGCCCCUUCCCACAGGGCGAGCGCGUCCCCAGCAAGGCCCCGCAGCUGGGAAGGGCGGCGGGGAGCUGGGGGGGGGGGUCGGGGGGGGCACUUCUCCUUUCCCUUGA